AAGACGUGGGAGGGCGGAGUUCGUGGGUGGACGUGGGUGUCGAGUGGCCUAGACAUAUCUGGCAAUUCGGACAAAUAUUAGUCCCGUAUCCCGAGAACCUGGCUUUCAUGCAUUGGUGAUGGCUAGCUGACAGUGACAGAGAUGGAACUGCUCUAGACACAUUUGAUGAAAGAACAUCUGAAAUGGAGGAUGUCAACAAGCAAGGUUCCCUGCCAUUUGUUAGGCUUCCUGACGCCACGGUCAGCGAGUCCGAGGACACCGAUGACGUCACUCCGCCCAGUCCGUGAGUGUUGUGCGCGUCGCCGGCGUUUCUCCGCGGCCGGCAUCUGGGAGCGGAGGCACGCGCUCGCGGGUAUACGACUGC
Pollicipes pollicipes is the source of this 364-nucleotide long non-coding RNA. RefSeq lists it as uncharacterized. NCBI's taxonomy places the organism in Eukaryota, Metazoa, Arthropoda, Thecostraca, Pollicipedomorpha, Pollicipedidae. The transcript is spliced from 3 exons. The record is from RefSeq and is a predicted model, not a curated record.